AGUGAACGCUGGCGGUAGGCCUAACACAUGCAAGUCGAACGGCAGCACAGUAAGAGCUUGCUCUUACGGGUGGCGAGUGGCGGACGGGUGAGGAAUACAUCGGAAUCUACUUUUUCGUGGGGGAUAACGUAGGGAAACUUACGCUAAUACCGCAUACGACCUACGGGUGAAAGCAGUGGAUCUUCGGACCUUGCGCGAUUGAAUGAGCCGAUGUCGGAUUAGCUAGUUGGCGGGGUAAAGGCCCACCAAGGCGACGAUCCGUAGCUGGUCUGAGAGGAUGAUCAGCCACACUGGAACUGAGACACGGUCCAGACUCCUACGGGAGGCAGCAGUGGGGAAUAUUGGACAAAGGGCGCAAGCCUGAUCCAGCCAUACCGCGUGGGUGAAGAAGGCCUUCGGGUUGUAAAGCCCUUUUGUUGGGAAAGAAAAGCAGUAGGUUAAUACCCCGCUGUUCUGACGGUACCCAAAGAAUAAGCACCGGCUAACUUCGUG
RNAcentral lists this ribosomal RNA (492 nucleotides) under uncultured bacterium. RNAcentral describes it as "partial 16S ribosomal RNA". It matches the Rfam family "Bacterial small subunit ribosomal RNA", at positions 29 to 507 of the family's 1533-position model. The record is from RNAcentral.